This 340-nucleotide long non-coding RNA is filed under the name Gallus gallus (chicken). Lineage: Eukaryota; Metazoa; Chordata; Aves; Galliformes; Phasianidae. The record is from RNAcentral.
AAUACCUUGGGACUAGGAAAUUCUGACUUUAUUAUGUACCAAGCAACCUUAAGUUGUACCAUGGUUAAUUAAAUUGUAUUUAAGGCAUUUCACACUUGACUUAUUUAUGCAGUGACACCGCGGUAAAGGUAAAUGACUGAUACAGUUCCUCUACCUAAGGAUCAAAUUAUAUGGCUGUGUUUAGGUCUGCUGUUUUUCAUUUGCAACUUUUUUUUUUUUUUUGGUAAAUGGGCUAUGUUCCAGUCUGCAUGAGGAAGAAGGGGCAUAAUUUCUUUCUUUGCCUACUGCUCCUACAUUUCCAUUAACCCUCUAACUGGAGUGUCUCCUGUUUGGUACCAAG